CCACUAGGGACCAUAAGACUAACUGCUGCGC
This 31-nucleotide non-coding RNA is filed under the name Homo sapiens (human). The record is from RNAcentral. Lineage: Eukaryota; Metazoa; Chordata; Mammalia; Primates; Hominidae.